Molecule: ribosomal RNA, 483 nt
Filed under: uncultured bacterium
Lineage: Bacteria
Description: partial 16S ribosomal RNA
Rfam family: Bacterial small subunit ribosomal RNA
Source: RNAcentral
GAUGAACGCUGGCGGCGUGCCUAAUACAUGCAAGUCGAGCGAACCACUUCGGUGGUGAGCGGCGAACGGGUGAGUAACACGUAGGUGAUCUGCCCAUCAGACGGGGACAACGAUUGGAAACGAUCGCUAAUACCGGAUAGGACGAAAGUUUAAAGGUGCUUCUGGCACCGCUGAUGGAUGAGCCGGCGGCGCAUUAGCUAGUUGGUAGGGUAAAGGCCUACCAAGGGGACGAUGCGUAGCCGACCUGAGAGGGUGAACGGCCACACUGGGACUGAGACACGGCCCAGACUCCUACGGGAGGCAGCAGUAGGGAAUCUUCGGCAAUGGGCGAAAGCCUGACCGAGCAACGCCGCGUGAAUGAUGAAGGCCUUCGGGUUGUAAAAUUCUGUUAUAAGGGAAGAACGACUUUAGUAGGAAAUGGCUAGAGUGUGACGGUACCUUAUGAGAAAGCCACGGCUAACUACGUGCCAGCAGCCGCCGUAA